AGGAAACGAAAUGGUUGUAGUCUGACCUUUUCCUUGAUGUCGAAUCGAAGGCCUCCCACAAAUCUUGCAACCUGGUGCUGUUCAUUUUCGCUUAGGUUUGUUCUUGCACUCAGGCGGUGGAAUUCUUCAAUGUACUCAGCUACUGUCCGGACACCUUGGCGGCAGUUUUGGUACUGAUUGUAUAAAGUUUGUUCGUAGUUUGGUGGUAAGAAUCUUGCCUUCAAUAACUUUUUUCAUCUUUUCCCAUGAGCGAACCGGUUGUUUCCCGCAUCUUUGUCUAUUGAUUUCUAACUGAUCCCACCAAGCUGAUGCACCAGCCCUUAAUUUUAAGGCUACUAGGUGGACUUUCUUGCGUUCAGGCGUAUCCAUGUAGUUGAAGAAGUUUUCAGUACUCUUUAUCCAGUCCAAGAAUGCUUCUAUGUUUCGUUUGCCAUCAUACAUGGGAAGGUCAAUCUUCAUCUUAUAAUCGUGGUAUUCUCCUCUUCUGGCCUCAAUUCUUUGGUUAUUUCUUCCUGCUCGUGCUUCAUCAUUGAAGUUCCACAUGUUUCCUUGUUCAUCCCCGCUUGAAGAAUCAUCUUCUUGGGUUUCUUGCCAAGCUUCUUGAUCUUCUUGAAAGUCUUCGUCAAGCUGUUGCUGUAUAGCGUAACCGGGUCUCCUUCUUUGAAGUCCUCGUGGAUUGUUCAUGUUUCUAACGUAUCCCCUUGCUCGCCGGCCUCUUGUUUCACCAAAACGUUGGUCGUUUUGGAAGUUAAUUUCAUUCCGUGGUGGUGGCUGUGGGAAUUCUCCUCUUCGGUUUAACAGUUCGACACUUUCCAUCAACCUAUCAAAUUUGUUGUGGAGAUCUCCCAAAGAUUCUUCAACAGCCAGCAAGCGAACUGUUGAUGUCUUUGGAGAGAGGACGGUGAUUUCCUCCGCCGCUUCUUGCACACGGUUUUCCCCCGUGGCAGGGUUGUUAACUCUUCGGCCAGCCAUUCCGUCCAAGAAUCGGGGCUGCUCUGAUACCAAUUUGAUGUAAUUCAAAGUUAGGAUUGAUUUUUCAAAAUGAAUUCUCUGCCAUAUUUCAGGCUAGGAGACUGUUAUAUAUUGAUAUCUCAAG
Molecule: long non-coding RNA, 1096 nt
Filed under: Cucumis sativus (cucumber)
Lineage: Eukaryota; Viridiplantae; Streptophyta; Magnoliopsida; Cucurbitales; Cucurbitaceae
Description: long non-coding RNA (CSAT_LNC002654)
Source: RNAcentral